This 4293-nucleotide long non-coding RNA is filed under the name Mus musculus (house mouse). RNAcentral describes it as "long non-coding RNA chr2:29973248-29977541". Lineage: Eukaryota; Metazoa; Chordata; Mammalia; Rodentia; Muridae. The record is from RNAcentral.
UCUCAAAAAAAAAAAAAAGUUUUGUGACUAAGCAAAUUAAAUAAUCAUUGUAUGGUUUUCCUCUUUUUCCUUUCCUUUUCUUUUUUUUUUUUUUUUUAAGAUUUAUUUAUUUAAUUUCUGUGAAUACACUGUCCCUGUCUUCAGACACACCAACCAGAAGAGAGCAUAGACUCCCUUUACAGAUGGUUGUGAGCCACCAUGUAGCUGCUGGGAAUUGAACUCAGGACCUCUGGAAGAGCAGUCAGUGCUCUUAACUGUUGAGCCAUCUCUCCAGCCCUGUUGGGUUUUGCUUUGUUUUGUUUUUUUGAUGCAGGGUUUCUCUGUGUAGCUGUCCUAGGCCUCCCUCUGUAGACCAGGAUGGCCUUGAACUGCCUGCCUCUGCCUCCUGAGUAUUGGGACUAAAGCCAUGCACUACUACUGUCUGCGUGCCUUCCCCCCCCCCCCCUUACCAUUUCCUGUGGAUAAAGACAAUGGUAAUGCAUAAAUAAACCCUCCGGGGUUUGUUUGGAUGGGGGAGGGGAGGUCUCACUGGAUAGCCCAGACUGGUCUCCAGCUGGAAAGCAUCCUCUCUUAAUCUCCUCAGUGUUGAUCAUAAGGCAUGUGCCACCAACUUGGAUAGGUUUUUAAUUUUAAGGAACUUUGAAGGCCAUUGUAAGAGUUGACAGUAGUUGUUUUCAAUUCACCUACCUACCGAGGUACAGGGCUGUGUCUUGCUGAGUUGUUUGAAGUCAGCCUGUAGUAGUGAAGAGAGUUUGGCUUCCUUAGGGAGCAUUCUGCGAAGCCCAACUGAUUGGUGAUACCUAGUUGAAUAUCUUUAGUUAGCAGAUUAUUUGUCAUUCUUGUCACAAAUCUAACAUUUGCCUUAGAAGUAGUUUUACAAUAUGGAGAAAGAGAACCAUUAUCCAGCCCCCAACCCUACUCCUUGCAAAUUAAUUUUUGAAUUUGCUUGGUCAUUUAGUCAAUAAGCAUAUAUGUUUAUUCUGAGACAGGUUUUCACUAUGUAGUCCUCGCUGGCCUAGAACUUAGUCUAUAUAGACCAGGCUAGCUUUAAAUUUAGGAGAGCCCCUGCCUCGGCCUUCAAAGUGGUGGGAUUAUAGGCAUGCUACAUUAUACCUGGCUUAAAGUUGUAUUUCUUUCAAAUUGCCUUUCUUACAUUUAAAUGUUUAGAAACAAUCCUUGUUACCAUACCAAGAGAGUUAACAAUAUGUACAGCAGAGCAAACUCAGUUUAAGAACAUAAAAAGUAAGGGUAAUGUCCACAGGCGUUGUUGGUCCAACUUCAGAGUGGGUAGUUAUUAAGAUGGCCUUCUCACCCAUGGUUUAUCUGACUUCCUCACCUUAGGAGCAGAAAAGAAAAAUUAGAUAGUCCAGCAAAGGGAAACUGUUCCUAACUAACAUUUCUGGUUGGAUCCCCAAAUUUCCUACUGAAGAUGAGUUUUUACUUCCCAGUCUCUGGGUUUUUUCCCCCGUGUAACCUGCUAUCAUUCCUACCCAGUUUUUUGUAGACAGGAGUCUAAACUUUCUUUGAGCAGAGCAUGAUAUUGGAACACAGUAAGAGCACCUUAUGUCUGUAAAUACUUGCUGAUGCUAGAAGCAGUCAGGGUACAGGAAAUCAGGUGGGACUCCGUUCACAGUUCAGCCUGCCUCUAGAUUUAUCUCCUGGCUUAGCCUUAAAGCUCAUCCUCCUAAGACGUUUUUCUAAUUUUGACCUGAACAGUAUACAGACAAAUCAUACAGACCGUGAUUCCACACACACAAGACACUAGGAGCCUUCUCAGCAGGACAGUUCUUCACUGAUGCAGUACACAAACUAGAGGAAAGCAGGAAACAGACUAAAUGAGCACUCUUAACUGCCCUUACACCAGAACUAGGAGUUUCAGACAGUAGGUAUCUGCUCACCAGGAGGAAGUAGGUCUAGGUGCUCUGCUCCUUACAGUGUAGUGCAGCAGAGAUGGGGCAGGGGGUAGAUAGGGCUUGGAACAUACUUAUUUCUAUGUAUCUUGAGGUAUGUAUAGGGCUUCCCAGGGAAAGAAGGGAUGGGACAUUCUAGGCAAAAAAAAAUUAUGCACAAGCCAGGCAUGUCUAAUCCCAGGCAGGAGAACCCAAUGUUAAAAGUCAUCUGCAGCUCCAUGAGGAGCUUAAAAACAAAAUUGCUUUGGAGUUUUCUAGAGAAUUGUGUUUUAGAAAAGGACUUUUUUCCUGGUUGGGGAGGUGGCUCAGGGUAAAACAAUUGUUAGGAAGUCUAGGCAUAGCAUUGUGCUCCAGUGACUCAAGUUGGGUAUAAGGGGAGCUGUUUGGGCAGCAAAGUCAAGUCAGUAAGCUACAGCUUCAAUGAAGAGACUGUGUGUCCGAAAAUAAGGUAAGAUGGGGCAGGAGAGAUGACUCAGUGCUUUUUAGAGCUGUGGUCUGUACCCUUCCUUCCCUCCCUUUUUCCCUUCUUACCUCUUCUUACUACCACCAUCCAAUAAUAAUAAUAAAUGUAUAUAUACUUAAGAUGCUUAUUACAUAUAUGUAUUUGUUAUGUCCAGGGGUGCUCCUGUGCCACCGUGUGCAUGGAGAUCAACAGACAACUUGUAAGAGUGGGUUCUCUCCUGUCAUGCGAAUCCUGAGAAUCAAACUGAUCAUCAGGCUGGCAGCAACAUGCUUUGACCAGCUGAGCCAUCGCAUGCAUUGGAUGUUUUAUUUAAAAAGAUAGAGGAAAGUGCCUGACAAAGUUGUACACUUGGAGGCACAUAUGCACACAUAUAAUACAUGCACACACGUGUGUUUGUGGCUCAGUGGUGGAGUGCUGCUUAGUAUUCAAGUGGUAGAUGUCCUGUACCAUGGAAAUGAGACCACCAAACAAGUAACUCCAUAGCGUAUAAUCUGAAAGACACAGCGCUACAGUUAAACUCACCUCAGGGCUUCCCGGGAAGGUAUCAUCUUCAUCAGAACAGUCCUUGAAGCUGGUAAAGGUGCACACAGUUCUCACUGAGCAGUAUUUCCUGUGAGUGUGGCAGCACCUUCAAGGGUUUCCAUCCCAAUCCCGAGCCUGCCAGACAUUCCCUCGUCCUGCAGUAGCAGGAAAUGGGACAAGGGAAAAGCUCCCAGGUAUUGCUGGUAGCACAGUUUUUCUACCUUUUACACAGUUCAUUAUUAGAAUAGGCUCUGGAUGGGACUUUACUGUCAUCUGCCCUACGUAAUGUACUCAGGAUCCCCUCUGAAGACUGUACUUUGUUUUGACACAGUCUCACUCUAGCCUAGGUGUGGGCCUAGUGUUUGUUAUGUUUGCCAGACUGGCUCAGAACUUGUGGCAAACCCUUCUGCCUCUUCACAUCAAAGUGCUUAGAUUUCAAGCAUGGGCCGCUAUUCCCGGCACAGGCUGUGAGUAUUUAUUGUGUAUGUGAAUGUGUAUGUGAUGAGGGGAUGUGGAGACAACUUUGUGGAAUUGAUUUUCUCCCAUAUCUAUAUAGAUUGUAGCCGUCUAACUUAGAUUGUCAGCCGUGAGGUAUACUGAGCCAUCUCACCAGCCCUUGUUUGUUUUUUAUGUGUACCUGUUUGUGCCUGGUGUCCAUGAAUUCAGAGGGAUAUAUUGAAUUUCCUGGAACUGGAGUUAUAGGUAGUUGUGAGCCUGCCAUAUGGGUGCUAGGACCCUAACCUGCCUCUUCUGGAAGAGUAGCUAAUGCUCGUAAGACAGCCUCCGAGCCAUCGCUCCAGCUCUUCUUGUUUGCUUUUUGAAGCAUCUGACUGGGAUUCAGGCUAGCCUUGAAAUCUCCAUUCUUUCGCCUCAGCCUCCUGAGAGAAAUUCAUUGAUGUUGAGAAAUCAGUUGAUUGAUGGGUAUAUGCUAAAGACUGUACUUUUAAAGAGGGAAAGGUCACUUGCCAUUCUUAGCCACUCUAAGCAUAGUAGGAAAGGUCAUGUAUUGCUGAAUUUUAGAAGCUUUAUAUAAAAUUACAUCUAUUUUUCCUGUGGUCUUAAAUGACUAGAGUAUAAAAUGGUUUCUUUUUCUCUUUGAUGCUGGCAUGGAACUGAUAACCUUGCUAGGCAGUUGCUCUACUGUUGUUCUCUAUUCCCAUGGUGACUUAAUUCUUAUAAGAUCUAAGUAGCAUUAUCUUUGUUUCUCACAUAAUAGGUAAAGUUCUCUCCUUGACAUUAAAUUUGGCAAAACUGCUUAGAAAAUUGCAUGUUUAACAUGAGGUAGGGUUUAGGGACCUGAGAGAUGGCUCAGCAGUUAAGAAAUCUCUCCCAUAGGUCUUGUAAUGGGAUCUGAUGCCCUCUGCUGGUAUGUCUGAAAACAGCAAUGUACUCACAUAU